Molecule: long non-coding RNA, 642 nt
Organism: Malus domestica (apple)
Lineage: Eukaryota; Viridiplantae; Streptophyta; Magnoliopsida; Rosales; Rosaceae
Source: RefSeq, a predicted model, not a curated record
AUGUAUAUAUAAUUAGUUUGUUUUGACUGACCCACCUGGCCACUUAGAAGCCAACACAAAUAUUUUGAAUGAGAUUGCCAUCUCUUCUUGCGGUCUAUGACUUAAGACCACGUGUACUCACCUGAAUUAGUUGCUAUCUUCUUUCUCCUCAGUGCCUACAGCUAGCUUAACAGCUGUGGUUAGCCGCCAACUUCAACCAAUAAGGGGCUUUGUAGUUUCCGUUUAGUAACCUAUAAAUAGGAGAUCAACUCCAUUGUUUUCGAACACAAGCUAGCAUGCAAUGCAUGCUUUGCAGCUCAUGUGGUUGUGUUUGUAUAUAUAUAUGUUGAGAGAGAAAGAGAGGAGAGACGAGAAGACAAAUAGAAGGAAGGGAUUAAGAAAUCAAAUAGAAUCAGAGAGAAGGGUGCUGAAUUAUUCAUAUUUAUCUUCCUGCUUGGGAUGUCAGCCUGCAGCAGGGAAUUGAUCACAAUAGUGGUGCACUCUUGUAAUAGAGAGUUGGUGCAAUGCUUUGGAGUCCAGGUUCACGAACUAAACAAUCUAAGAGGGUAGACGGGAUGAGAUCGGAUUAAGUGUGAGGAUAGAAUUUUGUAUUUCUUUAUUUUAGCCUUGUAAAGAAUUAUUAGUUAUUUUAAAUAAGAAGAG